UACGGAGGGUGCAAGCAUUAAUCGGAUUUAUUGGGCGUAAAGGGCGCGUAGGCGGGAAUGUAAGUCAGACGUGAAAUUCCGGGGCUCAACCUCGGAGCGGCAUUUGAAACUACAUUUCUAGAGGGUAGAAGGAGAAAACAGAAUUCCACAAGUAGCGGUGAAAUGCGUAGAUAUGUGGAAGAAUACCGGUGGCGAAGGCGGUUUUCUAUUUUAUUCCUGACGCUGAAGCGCGAAAGCAAGGGGAUCAAACAGG
RNAcentral lists this ribosomal RNA (253 nucleotides) under uncultured bacterium. RNAcentral describes it as "partial 16S ribosomal RNA". It matches the Rfam family "Bacterial small subunit ribosomal RNA", at positions 524 to 776 of the family's 1533-position model. The record is from RNAcentral.